RNAcentral lists this ribosomal RNA (468 nucleotides) under uncultured bacterium. RNAcentral's name for it is "partial 16S ribosomal RNA". It matches the Rfam family "Bacterial small subunit ribosomal RNA", at positions 28 to 507 of the family's 1533-position model. The record is from RNAcentral.
GACGAACGCUGGCGGCGUGCUUAACACAUGCAAGUCGAACGGAAAGGCCCUGCUUUUGUGGGGUGCUCGAGUGGCGAACGGGUGAGUAACACGUGAGUAACCUGCCCUUGACUUUGGGAUAACUUCAGGAAACUGGGGCUAAUACCGGAUAGGAGCUCCUGCUGCAUGGUGGGGGUUGGAAAGUUUCGGCGGUUGGGGAUGGACUCGCGGCUUAUCAGCUUGUUGGUGGGGUAGUGGCUUACCAAGGCUUUGACGGGUAGCCGGCCUGAGAGGGUGACCGGCCACAUUGGGCCUGAGAUACGGCCCAGACUCCUACGGGAGGCAGCAGUGGGGAAUAUUGCACAAUGGGCGGAAGCCUGAUGCAGCAACGCCGCGUGCGGGAUGACGGCCUUCGGUUUGUAAACCGCUUUCGCCUGUGACGAAGCGUGAGUGACGGUAAUGGGUAAAGAAGCACCGGCUAACUACGUG